Molecule: ribosomal RNA, 440 nt
Filed under: uncultured bacterium
Lineage: Bacteria
Description: partial 16S ribosomal RNA
Rfam family: Bacterial small subunit ribosomal RNA
Source: RNAcentral
CCUACGGGCGGCAGCAGUGGGGAAUAUUGCACAAUGGGGGAAACCCUGAUGCAGCGACGCCGCGUGAGUGAAGAAGUAUCUCGGUACGUAAAGCUCUAUCAGCAGGGAAGAAAAUGACGGUACCUGACUAAGAAGCCCCGGCUAACUACGUGCCAGCAGCCGCGGUAAUACGUAGGGGGGAAGCGUUAUCCGGAUUUACUGGGUGUAAAGGGAGCGUAGACGGCAGCACAAGUCUGGAGUGAAAUCCCGAGGGUUAACCCCGGAACUGCUUUGGAAACUGGGCGGCUGGAGUGCAGGAGGGGUAAGCGGAAUGCCUAGUGUAGCGGUGAAAUGCGUAGAUAUUAGGAAGAACGCCGGUGGCGAAGGCGGCUUACCGGACCGUAACUGACGCUGAGGCACGAAAGCGUGGGGAGCGAACAGGAUUAGAUACCCCGGUAGUC